Molecule: ribosomal RNA, 3008 nt
Filed under: Salmonella enterica subsp. enterica serovar Anatum
Lineage: Bacteria; Pseudomonadati; Pseudomonadota; Gammaproteobacteria; Enterobacterales; Enterobacteriaceae
Description: bacterial LSU rRNA
Rfam family: Bacterial large subunit ribosomal RNA
Source: RNAcentral
GGGUUGUGAGGUUAAGCGACUAAGCGUACACGGUGGAUGCCCUGGCAGUCAGAGGCGAUGAAGGGCGUGCUAAUCUGCGAUAAGCGCCGGUAAGGUGAUAUGAACCGUUAUAACCGGCGAUACCCGAAUGGGGAAACCCAGUGUGAUUCGUCACACUAUCAUUAACUGAAUCCAUAGGUUAAUGAGGCGAACCGGGGGAACUGAAACAUCUAAGUACCCCGAGGAAAAGAAAUCAACCGAGAUUCCCCCAGUAGCGGCGAGCGAACGGGGAGGAGCCCAGAGCCUGAAUCAGCAUGUGUGUUAGUGGAAGCGUCUGGAAAGGCGCGCGAUACAGGGUGACAGCCCCGUACACAAAAGCGCAUGUGCUGUGAGCUCGAUGAGUAGGGCGGGACACGUGGUAUCCUGUCUGAAUAUGGGGGGACCAUCCUCCAAGGCUAAAUACUCCUGACUGACCGAUAGUGAACCAGUACCGUGAGGGAAAGGCGAAAAGAACCCCGGCGAGGGGAGUGAAAAAGAACCUGAAACCGUGUACGUACAAGCAGUGGGAGCACAGGUUUACCUGUGUGACUGCGUACCUUUUGUAUAAUGGGUCAGCGACUUAUAUUCUGUAGCAAGGUUAACCGAAUAGGGGAGCCGGAGGGAAACCGAGUCUUAAUUGGGCGUUAAGUUGCAGGGUAUAGACCCGAAACCCGGUGAUCUAGCCAUGGGCAGGUUGAAGGUUGGGUAACACUAACUGGAGGACCGAACCGACUAAUGUUGAAAAAUUAGCGGAUGACCUGUGGCUGGGGGUGAAAGGCCAAUCAAACCGGGAGAUAGCUGGUUCUCCCCGAAAGCUAUUUAGGUAGCGCCUCGUGAAUUCAUCUCCGGGGGUAGAGCACUGUUUCGGCUAGGGGGCCAUCCCGGCUUACCAACCCGAUGCAAACUGCGAAUACCGGAGAAUGUUAUCACGGGAGACACACGGCGGGUGCUAACGUCCGUCGUGAAGAGGGAAACAACCCAGACCGCCAGCUAAGGUCCCAAAGUCAUGGUUAAGUGGGAAACGAUGUGGGAAGGCCCAGACAGCCAGGAUGUUGGCUUAGAAGCAGCCAUCAUUUAAAGAAAGCGUAAUAGCUCACUGGUCGAGUCGGCCUGCGCGGAAGAUGUAACGGGGCUAAACCAUGCACCGAAGCUGCGGCAGCGAACGUAUCACUUAAAGCGAUUCAGCGGGUUACGAUUGACGGAGCGAAGCGACGUCAAAGCGUAUACAAAGUCGAGUCGGUUUAAGGAUACGUUCGUUGGGUAGGGGAGCGUUCUGUAAGCCUGUGAAGGUGGCCUGUGAGGGUUGCUGGAGGUAUCAGAAGUGCGAAUGCUGACAUAAGUAACGAUAAAGCGGGUGAAAAGCCCGCUCGCCGGAAGACCAAGGGUUCCUGUCCAACGUUAAUCGGGGCAGGGUGAGUCGACCCCUAAGGCGAGGCCGAAAGGCGUAGUCGAUGGGAAACAGGUUAAUAUUCCUGUACUUGGUGUUACUGCGAAGGGGGGACGGAGAAGGCUAUGUUGGCCGGGCGACGGUUGUCCCGGUUUAAGCGUGUAGGCUGGUUUUCCAGGCAAAUCCGGAAAAUCAAGGCUGAGGCGUGAUGACGAGGCACUACGGUGCUGAAGCAACAAAUGCCCUGCUUCCAGGAAAAGCCUCUAAGCAUCAGGUAACAUCAAAUCGUACCCCAAACCGACACAGGUGGUCAGGUAGAGAAUACCAAGGCGCUUGAGAGAACUCGGGUGAAGGAACUAGGCAAAAUGGUGCCGUAACUUCGGGAGAAGGCACGCUGACACGUAGGUGAAGUGAUUUACUCAUGGAGCUGAAGUCAGUCGAAGAUACCAGCUGGCUGCAACUGUUUAUUAAAAACACAGCACUGUGCAAACACGAAAGUGGACGUAUACGGUGUGACGCCUGCCCGGUGCCGGAAGGUUAAUUGAUGGGGUCAGCGCAAGCGAAGCUCCUGAUCGAAGCCCCGGUAAACGGCGGCCGUAACUAUAACGGUCCUAAGGUAGCGAAAUUCCUUGUCGGGUAAGUUCCGACCUGCACGAAUGGCGUAAUGAUGGCCAGGCUGUCUCCACCCGAGACUCAGUGAAAUUGAACUCGCUGUGAAGAUGCAGUGUACCCGCGGCAAGACGGAAAGACCCCGUGAACCUUUACUAUAGCUUGACACUGAACAUUGAGCCUUGAUGUGUAGGAUAGGUGGGAGGCUUUGAAGCGUGGACGCCAGUCUGCGUGGAGCCGACCUUGAAAUACCACCCUUUAAUGUUUGAUGUUCUAACGUGGACCCGUAAUCCGGGUUGCGGACAGUGUCUGGUGGGUAGUUUGACUGGGGCGGUCUCCUCCUAAAGAGUAACGGAGGAGCACGAAGGUUGGCUAAUCCUGGUCGGACAUCAGGAGGUUAGUGCAAUGGCAUAAGCCAGCUUGACUGCGAGCGUGACGGCGCGAGCAGGUGCGAAAGCAGGUCAUAGUGAUCCGGUGGUUCUGAAUGGAAGGGCCAUCGCUCAACGGAUAAAAGGUACUCCGGGGAUAACAGGCUGAUACCGCCCAAGAGUUCAUAUCGACGGCGGUGUUUGGCACCUCGAUGUCGGCUCAUCACAUCCUGGGGCUGAAGUAGGUCCCAAGGGUAUGGCUGUUCGCCAUUUAAAGUGGUACGCGAGCUGGGUUUAGAACGUCGUGAGACAGUUCGGUCCCUAUCUGCCGUGGGCGCUGGAGAACUGAGGGGGGCUGCUCCUAGUACGAGAGGACCGGAGUGGACGCAUCACUGGUGUUCGGGUUGUCAUGCCAAUGGCACUGCCCGGUAGCUAAAUGCGGAAAAGAUAAGUGCUGAAAGCAUCUAAGCACGAAACUUGCCCCGAGAUGAGUUCUCCCUGAGACUUUAGGUCUCCUGAAGGAACGUUGAAGACGACGACGUUGAUAGGCCGGGUGUGUAAGCGCAGCGAUGCGUUGAGCUAACCGGUACUAAUGAACCGUGAGGCUUAACCUUACAACGCCGAAG